Molecule: unclassified non-coding RNA, 134 nt
Filed under: uncultured Coniolariella
Lineage: Eukaryota; Fungi; Ascomycota; Sordariomycetes; Xylariales; Xylariaceae
Description: sequence contains ITS1
Source: RNAcentral
GAGAGUUGACCCUGACUCCCAAACCCCUGUGAACAUACCGUACGUUGCCUCGGCGGGGGGGCGCUCCCCCCCGCCGGCGGCCCACGAAACUCUGUUUUGCCCUGCAUCUCUGAAACGAUAAACUAAAUCAGUUA